Long non-coding RNA from Haemorhous mexicanus (house finch), 629 nucleotides. RefSeq lists it as uncharacterized. The record is from RefSeq and is a predicted model, not a curated record. NCBI's taxonomy places the organism in Eukaryota, Metazoa, Chordata, Aves, Passeriformes, Fringillidae. The transcript is spliced from 2 exons.
GGAGCUCGGUGUGUGCACGCACAGGAGCUCAGUGUGUGCACGCACUCCCGGGGCUCGCUCGGCCCCGGUGGGUGCUGCACACCCAGCCACGCUCCCACACCCACGUUCCCACACCCCGGCCAUGGGCGCCGGCGCCCCCUCCCUUCCCGGCCCCCUGCGCUCCCCCGCGGCCGCAGUUCCUGUUUACGGUGAUGGAGCCGCCUGCCCGGCCCUCCCGACACCGCGGGGGGAGUUACCGGGGCAUCGCUGGUGCUGCGGCCUCUCCCGUGCCUGGCACCGGUGCUGAUGGGUUCCCGGCUGUGCGGGAUCACCCCACGGAUGCAAGACCACGAACCAUUCUGGGAACAGCAGCAGGAAAUCCUGACCGGGAAAAGAGCUGGACCCCGCGUGGCAUCAGCAUGGGCUGGGAGCCACGAAUCUGCUGUGUGUCAGGGAGCCGAGGGAGGAAUCCAGCCCUGGGCCAGACCCACUGUGCCACAUUCCCCAGCGCCGAGCCACACUGUGAGGAGCCGGGCUCAGCUCAUCCCAGCACCCGACCUGUGGGGAAACUGAGGCACCAGCUGGGGAAGUGACUCACCUACACUGUGGCCUCUAAAUGCACUGCUCCGAUUAGAUAAUGGGCGGAAGGA